GAUGAACGCUAGCGGCAGGCUUAACACAUGCAAGUCGAGGGGUAUAGUUCUUCGGAGCUAGAGACCGGCGCACGGGUGCGUAACGCGUAUGCAAUCUACCUUUUACAGGGGAAUAGCCCAGAGAAAUUUGGAUUAAUGCCCCAUAGUAUAUUCGAAUCGCAUGGUUUGAAUAUUAAAGUUCCAACGGUAAAAGAUGAGCAUGCGUCCCAUUAGUUAGUUGGUAAGGUAACGGCUUACCAAGACGAUGAUGGGUAGGGGUCCUGAGAGGGAGAUCCCCCACACUGGUACUGAGACACGGACCAGACUCCUACGGGAGGCAGCAGUGAGGAAUAUUGGUCAAUGGGCGCAAGCCUGAACCAGCCAUGCCGCGUGCAGGAUGAAGCAUCUAUGGUGUGUAAACUGCUUUUGUACGGGAAGAAACAGAGGAACGCGUUCCUCCUUGACGGUACCGUAAGAAUAAGGAUCGGCUAACUCCGUG
RNAcentral lists this ribosomal RNA (478 nucleotides) under uncultured organism. Its description in RNAcentral is "bacterial SSU rRNA". It matches the Rfam family "Bacterial small subunit ribosomal RNA", at positions 28 to 507 of the family's 1533-position model. The record is from RNAcentral.